GUGUCAGCAGCCGUGGUAACACCCGCAGCUCGAGUGGUGGUCACUUUUAUUGAGCCUAAAGCGUUCGUAGCCGGUCCUGUAAAUCUUCAGGAAAAUUCUUCCGCUCAACGGAAGAUCCUCUGAAGAGACUGCAGGACUAGGGACCGGGUGGGGUUGGAUGUACUUCUGGGGUAGGGGUAAAACCCUGUAAUCCUGGAAGGACAACCGGUGGCGAAAGCGUCCAACUGGAACGGAUCCGACGGUGAGGAACGAGGGCUAGGGGAGCAAACCGGAUUAGAAACCCCUGUAGUCC
This 292-nucleotide ribosomal RNA is filed under the name uncultured Thermoplasma sp. RNAcentral's name for it is "partial 16S ribosomal RNA". It matches the Rfam family "Archaeal small subunit ribosomal RNA", at positions 455 to 747 of the family's 1478-position model. Lineage: Archaea; Methanobacteriati; Thermoplasmatota; Thermoplasmata; Thermoplasmatales; Thermoplasmataceae. The record is from RNAcentral.